CCUACGGGAGGCUGCAGUGAGGAAUAUUGGUCAAUGGACGCAAGUCUGAACCAGCCAUGCCGCGUGCAGGAAGACGGCUCUAUGGGUUGUAAACUGCUUUUAUACGGGAGUAAAUCCCGGUACGUGUAUCGGGUUGAAAGUAUCUUACGAAUAAGGAUCGGCUAACUCCGUGCCAGCAGCCGCGGUAAUACGGAGGAUUCCAGCGUUAUCCGGAUUUAUUGGGUUUAAAGGGUGCGUAGGCGGUUUGAUAAGUUAGAGGUGAAAGCCUGGGGCUCAACUCCGGAACUGCAUCUGAUACUGUCGGGCUAGAGUUUAGUUGCGGUAGGCGGAAUGCAUGGUGUAGCGGUGAAAUGCAUAGAGAUCAUACAGAACACCGAUUGCGAAGGCAGCUUACCAAACUACGACUGACGUUGAGGCACGAAAGUGUGGGGAGCAAACAGGAUUAGAUACCCCUGUAGUC
RNAcentral lists this ribosomal RNA (460 nucleotides) under uncultured bacterium. RNAcentral describes it as "partial 16S ribosomal RNA". It matches the Rfam family "Bacterial small subunit ribosomal RNA", at positions 338 to 795 of the family's 1533-position model. The record is from RNAcentral.